This 352-nucleotide unclassified non-coding RNA is filed under the name soil metagenome. RNAcentral describes it as "partial contains 5.8S ribosomal RNA, internal transcribed spacer 2, and large subunit ribosomal RNA". The stretch from base 1 to 120 matches the Rfam family "5.8S ribosomal RNA", at positions 35 to 154 of the family's 154-position model. The record is from RNAcentral.
GAUGAAGAACGCAGCGAAAUGCGAUAAGUAAUGUGAAUUGCAGAAUUCAGUGAAUCAUCGAAUCUUUGAACGCACAUUGCGCCCCUUGGUAUUCCGGGGGGCAGGCCUGUUCGAGCGUCAUUACAACCCUCAGGCCCCCGGGCCUGGCGUUGGGGAUCGGCGGAGCCCCCCGUGGGCACACGCCGUCCCCCAAAUACAGUGGCGGUCCCGCCGCAGCUUCCAUCGCGUAGUAGCUAACACCUCGCGACUGGAGAGCGGCGCGGCCACGCCGUAAAACACCCAACUCUUCUGAAGUUGACCUCGAAUCAGGUAGGAAUACCCGCUGAACUUAAGCAUAUCAAUAAGCGGAGGA